RNAcentral lists this ribosomal RNA (279 nucleotides) under uncultured bacterium. RNAcentral's name for it is "partial 16S ribosomal RNA". It matches the Rfam family "Bacterial small subunit ribosomal RNA", at positions 506 to 784 of the family's 1533-position model. The record is from RNAcentral.
UGCCAGCAGCCGCGGUAAGACAGAGAUGGCAACCGUUGUUCGGAAUCACUGGGCGUAAAGAGCGUGUAGGCGGAUAAAUAAGUUUGAAGUGAAAUCCUGUGGCUCAACCAUAGAACUGCUUUGAAAACUGUUUAUCUAGAAUAUGGGAGAGGUAGAUGGAAUUUCUGGUGUAGGGGUAAAAUCCGUAGAGAUCAGAAGGAAUACCGAUUGCGAAGGCGAUCUACUGGAACAUUAUUGACGCUGAGACGCGAAAGCGUGGGGAGCAAACAGGAUUAGAUA